AACGAACGCUGGCGGCAUGCCUAACACAUGCAAGUCGAACGAACCCUUCGGGGUUAGUGGCGCACGGGUGCGUAACGCGUGGGAAUCUGCCCUUGGCUUCGGAAUAACAGUUAGAAAUGACUGCUAAUACCGGAUGACGUCUUCGGACCAAAGAUUUAUCGGCCAGGGAUGAGCCCGCGUAGGAUUAGGUAGUUGGUGGGGUAAAGGCCUACCAAGCCGACGAUCCUUAGCUGGUCUGAGAGGAUGAUCAGCCACACUGGGACUGAGACACGGCCCAGACUCCUACGGGGGGCAGCAGUGGGGAAUAUUGGACAAUGGGCGCAAGCCUGAUCCAGCAAUGCCGCGUGAGUGAUGAAGGCCCUCGGGUCGUAAAGCUCUUUUACCCGGGAUGAUAAUGACUGUACCGGGAGAAUAAGCUCCGGCUAACUCCGUGCCAGCCGCCGCCGUAA
This 449-nucleotide ribosomal RNA is filed under the name uncultured bacterium. Its description in RNAcentral is "partial 16S ribosomal RNA". It matches the Rfam family "Bacterial small subunit ribosomal RNA", at positions 29 to 523 of the family's 1533-position model. The record is from RNAcentral.